GACUCUCGACAACGGAUAUCUCGGCUCUCGCAUCGAUAAAGAACGUAUUGAAAUGCGAUACUUGGUGUGAAUUGCAGAAUCCCGUGAACCAUCGAGUCUUUGAACGCAAGUUGCGCCCGAAGCC
Molecule: ribosomal RNA, 124 nt
Filed under: Cornus paucinervis
Lineage: Eukaryota; Viridiplantae; Streptophyta; Magnoliopsida; Cornales; Cornaceae
Description: partial 5.8S ribosomal RNA
Rfam family: 5.8S ribosomal RNA
About the family: 5.8S ribosomal RNA (5.8S rRNA) is a component of the large subunit of the eukaryotic ribosome. It is transcribed by RNA polymerase I as part of the 45S precursor that also contains 18S and 28S rRNA. Functionally, it is thought that 5.8S rRNA may be involved in ribosome translocation.
Source: RNAcentral